This 220-nucleotide ribosomal RNA is filed under the name uncultured bacterium. RNAcentral describes it as "partial 16S ribosomal RNA". It matches the Rfam family "Bacterial small subunit ribosomal RNA", at positions 57 to 305 of the family's 1533-position model. The record is from RNAcentral.
GCAAGUCGAGCGCUACCUUCGGGUGGAGCGGCGGACGGGUUAGUAACGCGUGGGAACAUACCCUUUACUAAGGAAUAGCCACUGGAAACGGUGAGUAAUACCUUAUACGCCCUUCGGGGGAAAGAUUUAUCGGAGAAGGAUUAGCCCGCGUUAGAUUAGAUAGUUGGUGGGGUAAUGGCCUACCAAGUCUACGAUCUAUAGCUGGUUUUAGAGGACGAUC